AUUGAACGCUGGCGGCAGGCCCAACACAUGCAAGUCGAACGGUAACAGGAAGCAGCUUGCUGCUUUGCUGACGAGUGGCGGACGGGUGAGUAAUGUCUGGGAAACUGCCUGAUGGAGGGGGAUAACUACUGGAAACGGUAGCUAAUACCGCAUAACGUCGCAAGACCAAAGAGGGGGACCUUCGGGCCUCUUGCCAUCGGAUGUGCCCAGAUGGGAUUAGCUAGUAGGUGGGGUAACGGCUCACCUAGGCGACGAUCCCUAGCUGGUCUGAGAGGAUGACCAGCCACACUGGAACUGAGACACGGUCCAGACUCCUACGGGGGGCAGCAGUGGUGAAUAUUGCACAAUGGGCGCAAGCCUGAUGCAGCCAUGCCGCGUGUAUGAAGAAGGCCUUCGGGUUGUAAAGUACUUUCAGCGGGGAGGAAGGGAGUAAAGUUAAUACCUUUGCUCAUUGACGUUACCCGCAGAAGAAGCACCGGCUAACUCCGUG
Molecule: ribosomal RNA, 490 nt
Filed under: uncultured bacterium
Lineage: Bacteria
Description: partial 16S ribosomal RNA
Rfam family: Bacterial small subunit ribosomal RNA
Source: RNAcentral